GACGAUUUCACAUUAUGAUAAAUUUAAACGAAUAUUAACUUCCAGAAUCAAAAACACAUGCUUGUAGACAGAUUCGCAAUAAUGAAUUUAGGAAUGCGUUUAUUAAGCUUUCUUGCAGUCUUUGUAUGGAUAGUUACAACCGAAGGAGAUGAAUCACACAGUGGUUGUAAGUGUGGUAAAAAAGAGAAAAGUCGUUUUGGCGGUGAUGCUUUUUGCUGCGGAACGCUUUUUGUGGAUCCGGCCGAGAUAUCCAGAUGCCUCGGAUGUUUGUAUAACAACCAUCAACAUUUUCUAAAUCUAUAUAACUGUUCACAAGAACAAGGAAAAAAACAUCACCGCCAAACAGAAGUGAGCAGCAUCUCUAAUAGUAAG
Molecule: long non-coding RNA, 372 nt
Organism: Dreissena polymorpha
Lineage: Eukaryota; Metazoa; Mollusca; Bivalvia; Myida; Dreissenidae
Exons: 3
Source: RefSeq, a predicted model, not a curated record